Molecule: ribosomal RNA, 2250 nt
Filed under: Triticum aestivum (bread wheat)
Lineage: Eukaryota; Viridiplantae; Streptophyta; Magnoliopsida; Poales; Poaceae
Description: partial small subunit ribosomal RNA
Source: RNAcentral
AUGGCCGGCGGCAAGCGCCGCUACAAGCGCAACCCCACCGCCGGCGGGCCCCGUCACAGCGCCGGAGCCGGGCGCCGGCGCUCGCUCCCAGAACUCCCUUCCUUCGUCUCCCCCACCUCCGUCGCCGCCGCGUUUGGCCCUUCCUCCUCGGGCGGCCGGGGGCGCGGCCGAGGCGGCCGGCGCGGCGCCGCGGCGGAACCCGCCAACGCCGUCCCCUUCAGCUACACCGCCGCCCUUCGCCCGUGCCCCGCCUCCGCCGGCGGGGCGACGCAGGCGCUGGAGGUGGCCAUAGACACCGGCUCCUGCGCCGAUCCGGCCGCCUCCGCGUCGAUGUACUCGUACGAAGUGGUCGGAGGGAUCGGGCUUGGAUUCCACGGCGACGAGGAGGCGGAGGGCCAGGAGGAGGCCGGUGAGGGCGCGCCGCAUCUAGGAUUGGGAUUCCACGAUCGUAUCGAAGAAGAGAUGGACGCUGAGGUUGAGGAAUUGGAGGAGGUCUCCUUCGUGACACCGAGGCAGGCUAAAAGCAAAGGGAGGCAGAAUGGUGGAUUUAUCUCCAUUGGGGGAGUCAGGAUCUACAGCGAGGAUACCUCAUCACCGGAAUCAGAGGGGAUGGGCGACUCCGACGAGGAAUCAGAUUCCGAUUAUGAGGUGAGAGAUCGCAACGCUGAUGUUGAUAGCAGUGAGGAAGAUAGUGAUGAUGAUAAGGUGGAUCCGGAGUCUGAUGAGGACGGUUCAGGGUCAGACUCCGAGGAGGGUCUCAGCAUUGGGGACUCAUCGGUUGAUGAUGAGAUUGUUGCCGAUUACAUGGAGGGGAUUGGUGGCAGCGAGGAGCUAUUGAGCAGUAGGUGGUUGAAUGGCAUGAAAUUGGUUGAUUCAGAUGAUGAUGAGAUGGAUACAGACGACGAUGAGGACGGGUUCCUAAAGAAGGGGAAGGAAAAGCUUGAGGGUUAUGCGCUAAUGCGUGCAUCUGAGCAGUAUGGGAUGAAGAUGCCCAACUCGGCUGAAAGGCGCAAAGGAAAGAGCACUAAUGUCAGGGAUUGUGACAGGGGCCUGGCUAGUAUACAAGUUAUGGGGCUGGAGGAUGUGAUGAUGGUAAAGGAUGCAAGGAUGGCAAAUCGGUCAAGUAAGGGUUCAAAGGCUUCAUCGUCCUCUCAGCUCUCCAGGUCCUGGCCCGAUGCGUCCAGGAAGAGCAAGAAAUAUCAGAGGGUCCCAGGUGAAAAAAAGAAGCACAAGAAGGAACACAUUGCAAAGAAACGCCGUCAACGGAUGCUAAGUAGAGGAGUUGACUUAGAGCAAAUCAAUACUAAACUGAGGAAGAUGGUUGUCAAUCAACUUGAUAUGUUGUGCUUUCAGCCUAUGCACUCUCGGGACUGUUCUCAGGUACAACGCCUCGCAUCUAUUUAUCAAUUGAAAAGUGGGUGUCAAGGUUCAGGCAAUAAAAGGUUUGUUACGGUGACAUUAACUGGACAGUCUUCCAUGCCAUCUGCAGAUGGUCAAGUUCGACUUGAUAAGCUUUUGGGGACUGAGCCUGAGGACUACAGUGUCAACUGGAACAGCUCCAAAGGUCCAGCAAGAGCGAAGGGCCUUUCAGCUCCAGGGAAAUUGGUGAGGCACAGCGAUUCUUGUGGGAAGAAAGUUCCAACGAAAAAGGUCUCAUUUGCGGAGCGUCCUGUAUCUUUUGUGUCUUCUGGCACUAUGGCGGAAACUGCUACCGAGGCAGUAGCAGUUGGCUCAACUGCUGGCGAUGUGUCAUGUGAGAAGGUUGUCGGAAGCGACUCCAAGCUGGGCACCUUUGAGACGCACACCAAGGGCUUUGGUUCCAAGAUGAUGGCGAAGAUGGGAUUCAUAGAGGGCACUGGCCUUGGCAAAGAUGGCCAAGGCAUAUUGCAGCCUGUCCAAGCAAUUCAGCGUCCCAAAUCUCUUGGGUUAGGUGUAGAAUUUGACAGCGAAUUGGAGGCGGCCAAAGCAAGGUCAGAGCCACCGGCCAAAGCAAGGCCAGAGCCACCGGCUAAUGCAACGCGAGAACUGAGUAGAACCAGGUCAGAACCGAGGCGCAACACACGGCCACUGGAGAUGUAUGACUGCGGCACUUUUGAGAGGCAUACAAAGGGUUUUGGAUCCAAAAUGAUGGUGAAGAUGGGGUUUGUUCCGGGUUCUGGCCUGGGGAAGGAUGGCCAGGGCAUUGUCAACCCCUUGACCGCGGUAAGACGACCGAAAUCACGGGGGCUCGGAGCUACCGACAAGUACUAA